GCGGCUUUACUUCCAUAUUAGAGGAGGAAUCUGUUGCCUUUCGUUGUCGCCGGCAACUUUAACUGACCAUUUCCUCGGUUCAUAUCGUGUAUACGUCGGGUUAGAAAGCAGAAGAGGAGAGGAUGGCCAGGUUGCUGAUCUUCGUGCUUGGAGAUCGCUCGUAUGGAGCUGAUUCGACGUCACACAUGACGGGGAUUCUGUUUAUGCUGGGCUUGGUGGCAGCGACGAUAUCCAUCACGGCAGUCGUCAUCUUCAACUGCGGCGACAGCAAUGAGCCGACGCCUAAUCGCAAGAACAACAUCGGGUACUACGGUGGCGGCGGCGGAGACGGCGGCGGAUGUGGCGGCGGAGGCGGCGGAUGUGGCGGCGGAGGCGGCGGAGGAGGCGGAGGCGGAGGAUGUGGCGGCGGAGGCGGAGGCUGUUGAUGUGGCGGUGGUUGCCGAGGCCAUCGUUGGCAGACCGCUACUUUGAACUCUUAGCAUCUAAAUAAGCACAAUGCCUAUCUCAUUGGUUCUUUUCUUGAUGCAAUAUAGCUCGUGUAAAUUACAAUUACAAGUGCUAUACAUGUCAUGCAGCCUUUUCUAUUUUCGUCGAUGCUCGUCGUAUACUACUCAUAAGUGACAGUGUUUAUUUCUUUCAAGAUUCAAAGACAACAUACACUACUUUGCUUCUUCGUUCUUAA
Musa acuminata AAA Group (dessert banana) is the source of this 682-nucleotide long non-coding RNA. RefSeq lists it as uncharacterized. NCBI's taxonomy places the organism in Eukaryota, Viridiplantae, Streptophyta, Magnoliopsida, Zingiberales, Musaceae. The record is from RefSeq and is a predicted model, not a curated record. The transcript is spliced from 2 exons.